CAAGUCACCGGUUUAUUUUAAAUUCCCAAAUCGAGGAAAUUGAUUCUAUUUAUGGUCCGCGAACACAGAAGACUCGGUAAGAAAUUCUGUUAACCCGAGAGAAGGUGUGAGGUACUCCCGAGUUCCGUGGUUUUAGCACGGUCGCUUAACAAUUAAUACCUGGCUUAAAUAUCUGCAUUAUUACAGGUUUAAAACCUAUUGUGCAUUUUUACUUCUAACCGCUUUUAAUUAAUUUUAAUUGCUGUUUAGGAAUUAUGGGAUUUAUUUGAAGAAGUCACGAUGUCGCUCACUUGUUUGUUUUUGUAUAUAUUGCGAAUCACGCCACGCGAAACAUAGCCGUGAUUCACAACACGUUUAUUUUAAUUAUUAUUUGAAGUUGUGGUCAAGUCGCGUGAAACACGCACUUGAGUUGAGAUUUACAUAUCGUGACCAUGCCACGGGAACUGUACCCAUAGUCACGAUGAUUUAUUAAUCGCGCCUAAAGCAAACUAUGAAUGUUUAUGAGUUGUUUAAUUCCUAAUACUGCUUUGAGGUAUAUUGCAAGGUCAUAAGAAUUAUGGAGAAAUGUUGUUGACAGAAUGUGUACAGAUUGAGAUAAUUUUAAGGUAAAUUGACGUAAGCAUCACUGAAUUCGAACGUCAGUUAAUUAUUCUAUCAUUUGAGACCCAUAAGUUUGGAAAACGACUAUUUGAAGAAUCACGAAUAAUUAAGCCCAGAACUUUUGAAAAUCCCUACAUGCCUUGUAUUUACAAAAUCACUCAACCACUGAAUGGCAGUAUUAUAGAUUAACAAAAUAAAUAAAUGGUUUGAACAAAUGAACUUCUAUCAAUUUAAACAUUUGUAAUUUACAUGAACAGUCACCUAAGCAAAUACACUGUCAAUUAUGGAAUACAUCAUCUUAUGCUUAAAAUUACAACAUCCAUCCUCCAUUAAAGAAUACAUGUUUGGUUAACCUUCACUAUGAUCACAACUCUAACUGAUGCUUAAUGAAUAACAAACCCAAACAACAAAGAGCCGGCAGAGAUGAAACUUCACUCAAGCCUUAAAUGGCAAAUCAAACCAACCUGUGACCAGAUCCACCAUUAUUGACCUUCAAAUCCAGGAUUAGACUUUAAUUUAUUAGAAUACAAAAGCAAGUUCAGAUUUCAGUAGUUAACACUCAAAUAUAGGCAGCAUGUAUUUGAUAAUGAGAUAUGUAGGUUGAGAUCCAACUAAAUAUGUGAAAUCAGCUACAAUUCUAGUCACGAAAUUGCAAUGGAGACCAUUUGUCCUUAACAUGCAAAUCCAUAAUAGGUUUUAAGUCUUAAACACAUCAAAAAUAACAUCCAUUCAUGUUCAAAAUAGAACAAACAACCAGUUUAUAUAAUCACAACAAAUAACUUUAAAGAAUAACCAACAUUUCAUUGCAAAUCAAAACAGAUGUACAUGUGUGAGAUGUGUACCUAAACUCGUAAACAAGCUGAACUUUUGCCAAAUAAAGGCUAAGAAAACCAACACGAGAUGAAUUCAGCAAGAACAAUAGCAGGAAACAGAAGAACAACCUCAAGUCUUAGCUAAACAGCAGGGUGACAACAACAGAUUUUUCAACAACUCUAUGCAAUUUUGAAGAAAACAGAAGUUGAAUAGCAAAUCAAAACAGAGAAAACAGCUUGUGAAAACCUUGAUGGAAUUUUCAGAGUGUUAUCUUUUAGAAAUCAGUGUAAAAAAUGAAGAAAAAGAGUCUGAAUCAGAGAGUAAAUGUCCAAAAUGAAUAUGCAGGGGUGCUUUAUAUAGGGAAUAUGUAUGCCCUAUGAGAGAAUGAGAGAGGGUGUGAGAGUAUUCUGCCAGCUCCCUAAAAAUCAGGAAUUGUCAUCUUUUUCAACUAAAUUGGACAGCUGUCCUUUUCAGAUAUUUUUUCUUAUUUUCAGCAUCUUUUCUUAACCAAUUUGGACAACUGUCCAUCAUCUAUUCUUUUCCUAUUUUUCUCAGCCCCUUAACUUCUGAAAUUAACCCCUUUUGACCUUUAAUUUACUGCAUUUUAACCCCUUCCCAAACUCUUCUAGAACUUUCCAUCAGCUAAAAGAAAGAUUCCCUAAUUUUCUAUCACAUUCACCCCACUAAAGUUCCAAUUAAUACCAACUAGUGCCUUUACCUCAACCUACUGUCCUCUUUUAUCCCACAUAAUCAAUAUUUACUAAACAAAAACUAAUUAAUCUAAAUUGAAAUUAAGCUAUCAAGUACAAAUUAAUCACAAUCAGCAAACUAGUUGACCUAUCAAUUAAGCACAUGCGUAAUUAAAACCAUAACCUAAUUAAUCGAUUGAACUUCAAGUAGAACUAAAUCAAAUAAUUAUUCAGAAAGUUAAAACAUUUUCAAUUAUUAACCUAAGUAUGUUGACAUUCAAACAGGUGAUUACUAACAAAAUGCAAGCCUACGAUUAUUUAGCUAAUUUAUGAGCGAAACUGAUUCAAUUAAACUAGGUCAAACAAACCACACAAUUAAAAAAAAAUCUUCUGCUUUCAAGAAACAAAAUCAACAAAAGAAUAAGAUAAAAAGGGUGAGAGAGUACCUAUGGAAGGAAAGACGAUUCAAUUGAAGCGAUUUCAACGAGGUUCGACCGGAUUCUGAUGGUUCCGAAAUGAGAUAAAACUUACAUUAAUCAAUUGCUCUUGACUAGAGCAAUUGAUCAAUGUCAGUUUCAAGUCAAAAGAGUUGAGAAUCAAUGAAGAAAUCCAAAGGGAAUGAAGCUAGGUUUUCUGACCGUUUUUUAGAUCUAAAAUUUGUGAAGUUUGGGUGGUUUUUUGGGAAAAUUGAUGGGAUAUUAGGGAUUAGGAGGAUGUGAGGACUGUGGGGUGUGAAUUCGAGGGAGAUUGGGGUUGUUUGAAGUGGCGUCGCCGGCAAAGGGUCUUGGGACGGCUAGGGUUUGAGUGAGAGAGAUGAGAGGGAAUGAAAAUGGGGUCUCUAAGGGUUUGGGGGGUCGGUUCGAACAGAUAUAAGGGGAUUGGGUGGUGCGUUUAUGGCCGUUGGAUUAAGG
RNAcentral lists this long non-coding RNA (3013 nucleotides) under Nicotiana tabacum (common tobacco). RNAcentral's name for it is "long non-coding RNA (NTAB_LNC015475)". Lineage: Eukaryota; Viridiplantae; Streptophyta; Magnoliopsida; Solanales; Solanaceae. The record is from RNAcentral.